RNAcentral lists this ribosomal RNA (435 nucleotides) under Triticum aestivum (bread wheat). Its description in RNAcentral is "partial small subunit ribosomal RNA". Lineage: Eukaryota; Viridiplantae; Streptophyta; Magnoliopsida; Poales; Poaceae. The record is from RNAcentral.
AUGUGUUUCGGGAAUUCUGAAAAGGAAAACACUUUAAUUCUACCGACUAAUUACAACCCAUCAUCAUCAUCCUCACUCGUGCGACAUGUGCCCAAUAGGCCCCACCUACCGCUCUCCAUCCCUCGUCGUACUCUUAUAUCUUUUCUAACUUUCCCUUUUGCCCAUUUUCUCCAAAUCCCCUCCCCAUCCGACUACUCUCUCUCUCUCUCUCUCUCUCUCUCUCUCUCUCACACACACACACACACACACACACACACAACAAGGCUCCUUCACCCCAAUCUCUUCUUCGCAUCACCACCUCACCCGAUUGCUUGUAUCCAUGUCGGAGCUCGCUCAUCCUCCGCACCACAAAAGUUGGCGAUCUCUUCUCCACAUCACCACUUCGCCCGAACCCUUUGUAUUCAUCAUUUUGUCUACAAAAAAUCGCUCGGGUAA